CCCGGGCUGCGUCCGCGGUGGCCAUCAUCGCGCGCUGGCCUCGGCCGCUGCGCCCAGCUCCCGCUGGCCCCGACCCGAUCCGCUCGGCCAGGCCCGGUUUCCGGAGGCCUGUCGGAGUGGGGUCUGGCCCCGCGAGUCAUCGGCCCGGUCCCCCGCCCCAGGACGCCACGGAACCCCUCCUUCGCCCCUUGCAGUCUUAGCAUCCGACCCGCUCACCUCCGCGGAGCCGCCGCGCGUUGCCCCGACAACGGUUGAGCGCCGAACGCGGAAACAGCCGAAGGUGAGCGCGGCGGAUGCCGAGGCCACCCGAAGCGCCCCCAGAGGCCGGAAAGAGCCGAAGACGGUCGAGACUGUUCGUGAGGCGCCGAGGGCAAGAGUCCCCUGGCGGGUCACCGCCCGCGGCCAGCUCCGUGGUCUUGCGUGGCAUUUUGUCUUUGUCGCAGCCCCUGUUUAGGACCAGCAACGCUACCUCGGAAAGGGGAGCUAGGAGGCCAGUCUUUGCCUGUGCUGCGUAGAGAACGGAAGCGAGUGACAUUUUUAUAGGUGUGAUAAGAAUGCAAAGCCUGUUGGGACCGGCUCCUGCAAUUACACCUUAACAAACGGGUCGGUCGGAUGAGAGAAUGUGGGGGAGAAACAACGCCAUCUUCCCUAAGAUUCUCUUCUUCUCUUUUCAUUUUCUUGCUGAGUCUUUGGAACCGCACACCGUUUGAUGGGCUCUACUUUGUCUUUUCUCGAGGAGGAGGGUGUGGUUCAAGAGGAUUUCUGAGCAAAGUCAGUUCAUUCGACGUAAUAUUUGACGCGCAUUCAACGACUUGGGGGCCGUAUGGACUCUGGCGAGAUAAUGGUAGUCAAGGGUACCUACGGCCUCAUUCCAUUAUAAGCCAACCUGGCUCGUGUUGGCAGAUUGCAUUCCCAAAGGCACUAGGACGUGCGCCCUGGCCUUUUCGGUCAUGCGUGGUUAAACUUGGAAAUUAAGUUUGAACAACACAGCGAAGUCAUGUCAUUAAAGGAAAGAAAAAAUGUUGCGACAGCAAAUUAGUCCCCAUUAAGUGGAUCUGACAGGAAAGGUGCUGGAUCACACAGGUUUGUACCCUCGAACACCACCUCGCUUAUCCUCUCUUCCAUGAGCAAUGCUAGAAUUUACAACACACUCCUUUAACGCCAUCACGAGGAAACAUGACCCGAGUGCUCAGCGCCAUCCACUGCACUAAAGAACUUCAAAAGCACACACUCAACGUAAUAAAGGGCGUGUUUAUCUGA
Suricata suricatta (meerkat) is the source of this 1260-nucleotide long non-coding RNA. RefSeq lists it as uncharacterized. The transcript has 2 exons. NCBI's taxonomy places the organism in Eukaryota, Metazoa, Chordata, Mammalia, Carnivora, Herpestidae. The record is from RefSeq and is a predicted model, not a curated record.